Molecule: ribosomal RNA, 468 nt
Filed under: uncultured bacterium
Lineage: Bacteria
Description: partial 16S ribosomal RNA
Rfam family: Bacterial small subunit ribosomal RNA
Source: RNAcentral
GACGAACGCUGGCGGCGUGCUUAACACAUGCAAGUCGAACGGAAAGGCCCUGCUUUUGUGGGGUGCUCGAGUGGCGAACGGGUGAGUAACACGUGAGUAACCUGCCCUUUACUUUGGGAUAACUUCAGGAAACUGGGGCUAAUACCGGAUAGGAGCUCCUGCUGCAUGGUGGGGGUUGGAAAGUUUCGGCGGUUGGGGAUGGACUCGCGGCUUAUCAGCUUGUUGGUGGGGUAGUGGCUUACCAAGGCUUUGACGGGUAGCCGGCCUGAGAGGGUGACCGGCGAAAUUGGGACUGAGAUACGGCCCAGACUCCAACGGGAGGCAGCAGUGGGGAAUAUUGAAAAAUGGGCGGAAGCCUGAUGCAGAAACGCCGCGUGCGGGAUGACGGCCUUCGGGUUGUAAACCGCUUUCGCCUGUGACGAAGCGUGAGUGACGGUAAUGGGUAAAGAAGCACCGGCUAACUACGUG